This 292-nucleotide ribosomal RNA is filed under the name uncultured bacterium. Its description in RNAcentral is "partial 16S ribosomal RNA". It matches the Rfam family "Bacterial small subunit ribosomal RNA", at positions 505 to 796 of the family's 1533-position model. The record is from RNAcentral.
GUGUCAGCCGCCGCGGUAAGACAGAGGGUGCAAACGUUGUUCGGAAUUACUGGGCGUAAAGCGCGUGUAGGCGGCCCAGCAAGUCGGAUGUGAAAGCCCUGGGCUUAACCUAGGAAGUGCAUUCGAAACUGCUGGGCUUGAGUUCUGGAGAGGAAGGCGGAAUUCUCGGUGUAGAGGUGAAAUUCGUAGAUAUCGAGAGGAACACCGGUGGCGAAGGCGGCCUUCUGGACAGUGACUGACGCUGAGACGCGAAAGCGUGGGGAGCAAACAGGAUUAGAAACCCUGGUAGUCC